This 152-nucleotide non-coding RNA is filed under the name uncultured Acetatifactor sp. RNAcentral describes it as "FMN riboswitch (RFN element)". It matches the Rfam family "FMN riboswitch aptamer (RFN element)". From Rfam's summary of the family: The RFN element is a highly conserved domain that is found frequently in the 5'-untranslated regions of prokaryotic mRNAs that encode for flavin mononucleotide (FMN) biosynthesis and transport proteins. Lineage: Bacteria; Bacillati; Bacillota; Clostridia; Lachnospirales; Lachnospiraceae. The record is from RNAcentral.
UUCUUCGGGGUUGGGUGAAAUUCCCUACUGGCGGUGACAGACAGCACAUGAACAUGUGAAUCUGAAGUCCGCGACCCAUAGUCUGCCAAAGCAGGGUAUGGCUGAUCCGGUGAGAGACCGGGACCAACAGUAAAGUCUGGAUGAAAGAAGAA